UUCCUUUUAUCGUCAACCCGGAGCCCCACGGCGGCUAAUACAAGAGGCCAAAAAUGUUUGGAGGAAGAAAAACAAAGGCAGGAAGUGGCGGCAGCCUGACGGUGCGUGUGUGUCUGUGGAGAAGGGAGAGAAGGGAGAGAAGGGAGGGAGCCGGUUCAAUCUCUUCUUGUUUUUCCUAACUUCAAGGUCCAGACAG
This 196-nucleotide long non-coding RNA is filed under the name Propithecus coquereli (Coquerel's sifaka). RNAcentral's name for it is "HOXA11 antisense RNA 1 conserved region 6 (ENSPCOG00000008947.1)". It matches the Rfam family "HOXA11 antisense RNA 1 conserved region 6". The record is from RNAcentral. Lineage: Eukaryota; Metazoa; Chordata; Mammalia; Primates; Indriidae.